UACAGAGGGUGCGAGCGUUAAUCGGAAUUACUGGGCGUAAAGCGCACGUAGUCGGCUUUGCAAGUCGGUUGUGAAAUCCCCGGGCUCAACCUGGGAACUGCAUCCGAGACUGCAUUGCUAGAGUAUGGGAGAGGGAAGCGGAAUUUCUGGUGUAGCAGUGAAAUGCGUAGAUAUCAGAAGGAACAUCAGUGGCGAAGGCGGGUCUCUGGGCCGUAACUGACGCUGAGGAGCGAAAGCAUGGGGAGCGAACAGG
This 253-nucleotide ribosomal RNA is filed under the name uncultured bacterium. Its description in RNAcentral is "partial 16S ribosomal RNA". It matches the Rfam family "Bacterial small subunit ribosomal RNA", at positions 524 to 776 of the family's 1533-position model. The record is from RNAcentral.